This 512-nucleotide ribosomal RNA is filed under the name uncultured bacterium. Its description in RNAcentral is "bacterial SSU rRNA". It matches the Rfam family "Bacterial small subunit ribosomal RNA", at positions 993 to 1509 of the family's 1533-position model. The record is from RNAcentral.
ACCAGCUGUAGAAUACGGCCUUCCCGCAAGGGACAGGAGUAUAGGCGCUGCAUGGCUGUCGUCAGCUCGUGCCGUGAGGUGUUGGGUUAAGUCCCGCAACGAGCGCAACCCUGCACGUAGUUGCCACUCGCAAGAGGGAACUCUACGUGGACUGCUCCGGAUAACGGAGAGGAAGGUGGGGAUGACGUCAAGUCCGCAUGGCCUUUAUGUCCAGGGCUACACACGUGUUACAAUGCAGGGCACAAACCGUUGCCAACCCGCGAGGGGGAGCUAAUCGGAAAAAACUCUGCUCAGUUCGGAUUGCAGUCUGCAACUCGACUGCAUGAAGCCGGAAUCGCUAGUAAUGGCGUAUCAGAUCGACGCCGUGAAUACGUUCCCGGGCCUUGUACACACCGCCCGUCACAUCACGAAAGUGAGCUGUACUAGAAGUCGCCGCGCUAACCGCAAGGAGGCAGGCGCCCAAGGUAUGACUCAUGAUUGGGGUGAAGUCGUAACAAGGUAAGCGUAGAUGA